AGGGCCAUAUUAAGUUGAAACACCGGUUCCCGCAUGAUCACCGAAGUUAAGCAACGUCGAACCUAGUCAGUACCUAGAACGGUUACCCCUUGAGAAUACCAGGUGCUGUAAG
Non-coding RNA from Acanthosepion pharaonis, 112 nucleotides. The record is from the annotation of a GenBank genome assembly. Lineage: Eukaryota; Metazoa; Mollusca; Cephalopoda; Sepiida; Sepiidae.